AGCUCCAAUAGCGUAUAUUAAAGUUGUUGCAGUUAAAAAGCUCGUAGUCGGAUUUCUGGCCUUGGUAGGCGGUCCGCCGAAAGGUGUGCACUGUCCGCCGAGGUCUUUCCUCCCGACGUCUGCGUGUGCUCUUAACUGGGCGUGCGUGUGGCUCGGGACCUUUACUUUGAAAAAAUUAGAGUGUUCAAAGCAGGCCUUCGCUUGAAUACAUUAGCAUGGAAUAAUGGAAUAGGACUUUGGUUCUAUUUUGUUGGUUCUAGGACCGAAGUAAUGAUUAAUAGGGAUGGUUGGGGGCAUUAGUAUUUAAUUGUCAGAGGUGAAAUUCUUAGAUUUAUGAAAGACUAACUACUGCGAAAGCAUUUGCCAAGGAUGUUUUCAUUGAUCAAGAACGAAAGUACGC
Molecule: ribosomal RNA, 400 nt
Filed under: phytoplankton environmental sample
Lineage: Eukaryota
Description: partial small subunit ribosomal RNA
Rfam family: Eukaryotic small subunit ribosomal RNA
Source: RNAcentral